CGUGUAGGCGGCUUGGUAAGUCAGAUGUGAAAGCCCAGGGCUCAACCCUGGAAGUGCAUUUGAUACUGCCGUGCUUGAGUAUGGGAGAGGAGAGCGGAAUUCCCAGUGUAGAGGUGAAAUUCGUAGAUAUUGGGAGGAACACCCGUGGCGAAGGCGGCUCUCUGGACCAAUACUGACGCUGAGACGCGAAAGCGUGGGGAGCAAACA
This 207-nucleotide ribosomal RNA is filed under the name uncultured bacterium. Its description in RNAcentral is "partial 16S ribosomal RNA". It matches the Rfam family "Bacterial small subunit ribosomal RNA", at positions 568 to 774 of the family's 1533-position model. The record is from RNAcentral.